RNAcentral lists this ribosomal RNA (687 nucleotides) under Triticum aestivum (bread wheat). RNAcentral describes it as "partial small subunit ribosomal RNA". Lineage: Eukaryota; Viridiplantae; Streptophyta; Magnoliopsida; Poales; Poaceae. The record is from RNAcentral.
AUGGUGACGUUCCUCCGGCCGCUCCCUCACGCCCAUGGACCGACCGCCGUCAACGUUCGCCUCCGGAGAAGCCACCGCCUCCAUUCGCCGUCGUCGUUGCUCCCCUGCCGCUGCGGCUGCCUCACGCCCAUGGCGGAGGACCCCCCGCACCCCUACCAGCCAACAAAGGAGGACGACACUGUCCCGAUCUCACAACAGCAACCAGAGCAGCAGCUGCCGCCAGCGGCAUCUCCGCCACCGCCCGACGUCCAGGAACCAAGUACGAGCAGUAGCAGCUGCGGCGACACCAGUUCGUGGCUGCAGCUCGGUACCGGACACUCGGCUUCGUCGUCUUUGCGCGGGAAACGGACAAGAAACGACUAUGAAGCUGGACCCUCGUCGUCCAUACAACCGGACGCUCCGCCGCCGCUGUCAGAGCUAGGGCUGUCUCUGUUCCCAGCUGGUUCUUCGUCGCUGUCGGCAGCGGGUUCAGUGGUGGCGGCGGCGCCUCCUCCAGAGCACCAGGCCGGCACAUGGUUCGUGCUCCAGGCGGCGCAUAACCAGAGAAGGGAGCCGCCAUUGCCGCAGGUGCACAGGAGCUACUUGAGGGUCAGAGACGGGCGGAUGACAGUUAGAGUAGUGAUGGGGUACCUGGUUAGCAAGCUGGGUCUUGAGGACAACUCACAGAUGCUGGAGUCCAGGAGCUAG